CCUCAUACAUGCAAGUCGAGCGAGAACGUUACUUCGGUAGCUAGUAAAGCGGCGGACGGGUGAGUAACGCGUAGGAAUCUACCUUUCAGCGGGGGAUAGCUCGGGGAAACCCGAAUUAAUACCGCAUACACCCUAAGGGGGAAAGAGGGCCUAUCCUUGGAAGCUCUCGCUGUUAGAUGAGCCUGCGUGAGAUUAGUUUGUUGGUGGGGUAAUGGCCUACCAAGACUACGAUCUCUAGCUGGUCUGAGAGGACGAUCAGCCACACUGGGACUGAGACACGGCCCAGACUCCUACGGGAGGCAGCAGUAGGGAAUAUUGGACAAUGGGGGCAACCCUGAUCCAGCUAUGCCGCGUGUGUGAAGAAGGCUCUAGGGUUGUAAAGCACUUUAGGUAAGGACGAAAAGAAUAUAGUUAAUACCUAUAUUCCGUGACUUAACUUACAGAAUAAGGACCGGCUAACUCCGUGCCAGCAGCCGCGGUAAUACGGAGGGUCCAAGCGUUAAUCGGAAUUACUGGGCGUAAAGCGCGCGUAGGCGGUUUGUCAAGUUGGAUGUGAAAUCCCUGGGCUCAACCUAGGAACUGCAUUCAAAACUUAUAGACUAGAGUACGAUAGAGGAGAGUAGAAUUCCUGGUGUAGCGGUGAAAUGCGUAGAUAUCAGGAGGAAUACCAAUGGCGAAGGCAACUCUCUGGAUCGACACUGACGCUGAGGUGCGAAAGCGUGGGUAGCAAACAGGAUUAGAUACCCUGGUAGUCCACGCCGUAAACGAUGAGAACUAGCCG
RNAcentral lists this ribosomal RNA (781 nucleotides) under marine metagenome. Its description in RNAcentral is "bacterial SSU rRNA". It matches the Rfam family "Bacterial small subunit ribosomal RNA", at positions 47 to 822 of the family's 1533-position model. The record is from RNAcentral.